AUGAGCGUUUGUUCUUCUUAUUCUUUUGUAUCUCCAAAACUACAGAAACUCUUUCCAAUUUUUCAGUUCUUUGCUUCUUUGUUGAUGUGUGUAUACAUAUAAAAUUUUAAGCGAGUGUUGGGUCUUCUGAGGUUUUAACGCUCACGAUCCAAUUGGAUCUCUCAUCAUUUUUUUUUGCCGGGUCCUUCUUAAGAACACAGAAUCCUUAAAAUUUUGUGGGUUUUUGGAGAAAAUUGUUGGGAA
This 243-nucleotide unclassified non-coding RNA is filed under the name Hevea brasiliensis (rubber tree). Lineage: Eukaryota; Viridiplantae; Streptophyta; Magnoliopsida; Malpighiales; Euphorbiaceae. The record is from RNAcentral.